Molecule: long non-coding RNA, 201 nt
Filed under: Mytilus galloprovincialis (Mediterranean mussel)
Lineage: Eukaryota; Metazoa; Mollusca; Bivalvia; Mytilida; Mytilidae
Source: RNAcentral
CUGCUAUAUCAGUUAUGAAUUGUAAGAUAUGAUAAACGUAACCUCAAUAAUUUUUACAUUAGGUUAGUGGGACGAGUGAGUAUAUGCUUAGCGUCCAGAUGGUAAAUUUAUUUUUAUGACAUAACCUUUACAUUUCUGAAGUCCCCUCAACAACAAAAACUGAAUCAAUGCUAGUUACGCAUACAAGAAACCCAUAAUACG